Molecule: ribosomal RNA, 253 nt
Filed under: uncultured bacterium
Lineage: Bacteria
Description: partial 16S ribosomal RNA
Rfam family: Bacterial small subunit ribosomal RNA
Source: RNAcentral
AACGUAGGAGGCAAGCGUUAUCCGGAGUUACUGGGCGUAAAGAGUGCGUAGGCGGACGUGUAAGUGGGUGGUGAAAGCGCCCGGCUAAACCGGGCGAGGUCCAUUCAGACUGCAGGUCUAGAGGCGGAUAGAGGGGUGCGGAAUUCCGGGUGUAGCGGUGAAAUGUGUAGAGAUCCGGAGGAACACCAGUGGUGCAAACGGCGCCCUGGGUCCGAACUGACGCUGAAGCACGAAAGCGUGGGGAGCGAACGGG